GCACACUCUUCUCCCUCACACAGUUUCAAGAAAUUCAUAUUUUCAGUUUCCAAUAUGCCUGCCCCUGUUUCCACGCUGCCACUGAUGCCUGUUGAUGUCUCUUGCCCUCCUCCACCUCUGCACAUUUCUCAUUCUUUCGAAAAUCUUGCGAAUUUGAUAGAGCUUGUGUGACUGUUGAGUAAUAACGUUCACUGUUGAGGAAGAUUCACUCAAGAUUAUCUCAUAACCAUCUCGAAAAUCAUCCAUUCCCUCGGUUAGAAGUUGCCAAAACAGGCCUCCAACAGCUGCACCUCCUCUUUU
This 300-nucleotide unclassified non-coding RNA is filed under the name Hevea brasiliensis (rubber tree). Lineage: Eukaryota; Viridiplantae; Streptophyta; Magnoliopsida; Malpighiales; Euphorbiaceae. The record is from RNAcentral.